UACAACUUUCAGCAAUGGAUGUCUAGGCUCCCACAACGAUGAAGAACGCAGCGAAAUGCGAUACGUAAUGCGAAUUGCAAGACCUCGUGAAUCAUUAAAAUUUCGAACGCACAUUGCGCUCUUAGGAUCUUCCUGAGAGCAUACCUGUCUGAGUG
This 155-nucleotide ribosomal RNA is filed under the name Entomoneis paludosa. RNAcentral's name for it is "Amphiprora paludosa partial 5.8S ribosomal RNA". It matches the Rfam family "5.8S ribosomal RNA". From Rfam's summary of the family: 5.8S ribosomal RNA (5.8S rRNA) is a component of the large subunit of the eukaryotic ribosome. It is transcribed by RNA polymerase I as part of the 45S precursor that also contains 18S and 28S rRNA. Lineage: Eukaryota; Bacillariophyta; Bacillariophyceae; Surirellales; Surirellaceae. The record is from RNAcentral.